GUCCACGCUGUAAACGAUGGACAUUAGGUUUUGGGAGUUUCGACCCUUUCAGAACCGUAAGCUAACGCGUUAAAUGUCUCGCCUGGGAAGUACGGUCGCAAGACUAAAACUCAAAGGAAUUGACGGGAACCUGCACAAGCGGUGGAGCAUGUGGUUUAAUUCGACAAUGACCGAAGAACCUCACCAGGGUUUGAAAUCAACAGAAUCUUCCCGAAAGGGAAGAGUGCCGCAAGGAGCUGUUGACCAGGCGCUGCAUGGUUGUCGU
This 265-nucleotide ribosomal RNA is filed under the name uncultured bacterium. Its description in RNAcentral is "partial 16S ribosomal RNA". It matches the Rfam family "Bacterial small subunit ribosomal RNA", at positions 793 to 1055 of the family's 1533-position model. The record is from RNAcentral.